GAGAAGAACGUAGUGAAAUGCGAUAAGUAAUGUGAAUUGCAGAAUUCAGUGAAUCAUCGAAUCUUUGAACGCACAUUGCGCCCGUCAGUAUUCUGGCGGGCAUGCCUGUUCGAGCGUCAUUACGCCCCUCAAGUCCCCUGUGGACUUGGUGUUGGGGAUCGGCGAGGCUGGUUUUCCAGCACAGCCGUCCCUUAAAUUAAUUGGCGGUCUCGCCGUGGCCCUCCUCUGCGCAGUAGUAAAACACUCGCAACAGGAGCCCGGCGCGGUCCACUGCCGUAAAACCCCCCAACUUUUUAUAGUUGACCUCGAAUCAGGUAGGACUACCCGCUGAACUUAAGCAUAUCAAUAAGCGGAGGA
RNAcentral lists this unclassified non-coding RNA (357 nucleotides) under soil metagenome. RNAcentral's name for it is "partial contains 5.8S ribosomal RNA, internal transcribed spacer 2, and large subunit ribosomal RNA". The stretch from base 3 to 119 matches the Rfam family "5.8S ribosomal RNA", at positions 38 to 154 of the family's 154-position model. The record is from RNAcentral.